GUAGGGUGCGAGCGUUAAUCGGAAUUACUGGGCGUAAAGCGUGCGCAGGUGGGUUUUGUAAGUCAGAUGUGAAAUCCCCGGGGCUUAACCUGGGAACUGCGUUUGAAACUGCAAGGCUAGAGUGUGGCAGAGGGGGGUGGAAUUCCGCGUGUAGCAGUGAAAUGCGUAGAGAUGUGGAGGAACACCGAUGGCGAAGGCAGCCCCCUGGGUCAACACUGACGCUCAGGCACGAAAGCAUGGGGAGCAAACAGGAUUAGAUACCCUGGUAGUCCAUGCCCUAAACGAUGUCAACUAGUUGUCGGGUCUUAACGGGCUUGGUAACGUAGCUAACGCGUGAAGUUGACCGCCUGGGGAGUACGAUCGCAAGAUUA
RNAcentral lists this ribosomal RNA (371 nucleotides) under uncultured organism. RNAcentral's name for it is "partial 16S ribosomal RNA". It matches the Rfam family "Bacterial small subunit ribosomal RNA", at positions 527 to 896 of the family's 1533-position model. The record is from RNAcentral.